RNAcentral lists this unclassified non-coding RNA (343 nucleotides) under Hevea brasiliensis (rubber tree). The record is from RNAcentral. Lineage: Eukaryota; Viridiplantae; Streptophyta; Magnoliopsida; Malpighiales; Euphorbiaceae.
UAUAUGCCUAUAUGCAGGUUCUGGAGUAUGAGUAUCUUUUCUAUGUUUGGGCUUUGAAAUGAAAGUGUCUUUUCUCUUUAUGAUGGCCUUUUAAUCAAGAGAUAUCUAAAAUAGAUUAAAACUAAAUGCACCUUUACGUGGACAUGAGGAUACCUUUCCAAUGUCUCAAGUGAGGGCACCUUUUAUCUUAAUGAUGGCUUCCAUAUUUAGUUAGCAUGUCAGGUGGCAUGGUAAAUAAAAUGUUCUCUCUGGUCUCCCCUUUUGGCAAGAUGUAAUGUAAUAUCGUUCUAAAGAAAUGACCAUCCUUAUUAAUUAAACAGGGCUCACUUUUUGGAAAUGCAAG